This 2964-nucleotide long non-coding RNA is filed under the name Malus domestica (apple). RNAcentral's name for it is "long non-coding RNA (MDOM_LNC012657)". The record is from RNAcentral. Lineage: Eukaryota; Viridiplantae; Streptophyta; Magnoliopsida; Rosales; Rosaceae.
UUUAGAUUGCAUUCUCCCAAUCACAUAUUCCUUGGACUUAUUGUUUAAGCAUAUAACAUUUAUAUGAGACGGCUUAAACAAUAAUCUUUGCCCUUGAUAUUAAACUAGAUUAGUUUAACAUGUGAAAUGUCCGUAAAGUAUCAUCAUAUGAUUGGUUUUAGGGAACAUUUCCAACAAUCUCCCACUUGCACUAGAGCCAAUCAGCUUGGUCAUCAGUGAUGAUACCUCUUCUGUAGUCAUUUCAUAAAUGGCUGAAUAGUAGGCCUAGACAAUGGAUAUCUAUAUGUUAUCCAUAGAAGCAACCUUGAGAAUAACGACGUCACCAUUAUACAUGAUUCUCAAUCAUGUGGUUCAGUCUCUCAUUUGAGUUCGGAUCUUGAUGCGACCUUGAUUCCCUGGCUUGAGCUGUCGCCCCAUUAGUGUCGUAGUGUCGAUACACUAGAGACACUUUCUGGUUGGAACCGAAUAGAGAGUUCAUAAAUGAACUUUCCCAUCCAAACAACAUUGUUGUAAGCUUCUAUAUGGCAAUAUAUUUUGCAUUCAUAAUGGAACACACUAAAGUCAUUACUUUUAAUGUUUCCAUCCAAGUAUCUCUUUAGUCAUAAUAAAGAGAUAUCUGAUUAUCUCUUCAUUCAUAAUAAAGAAACAUCCAAUGAUGGAUUAGAUUCAUAAUCUAAUACAUUUACGCUUCCAUUACGUUACUCUAAUUCUUCCUCAUUCUGUGAGGAAUCUAUCCUUUAGUAUUUCUUAAAUACUCAAGGACUCACUUGACAGUUGCCAUUGUUCUGAUCUUGGGCUUGCACUGAUAUCGUCUUGUACCUUUCUAGGUACAACUCAUAUCAAUGUUUUUCAUACAAUAUGAAAUACAUAAAUCACCUUUCUGCGUAUGCAUAAAGGAUUCUAUAUACGCAUUAUUUCUUUGGGAGUCAAAGGGUACGUUCCCUUUGGGAAGGGAAACUUGGUAGUCUCACUAGAGUCGUCCUUCUAAUUGAAGUUUAUCAUCAUAUGAGAAACUUUCUAGCAUCUCUUGUCUAUUAUGAGGGACUGAUAUAAUCGAAUUAUAUCUUGAAAUAUAUCAUUAUAGAUUUCUAUCCCAUGUAUUUAGACUAUAUCUCCCAUAAACAUUCUAUCGUUAUAGAAUGUUUAAAGUCAUAACUUUAACGAAGAAGUAUACUUUUCAUUUCCAAAAUUAAUAUAUCAUAUAUGUGUAUAUAUAUAUAUAUAUAUAUAUAUUUAAAUUUAGGAAUAUGAUUAACUCCCACUGAUCUUUUGUAAACCUAGUAAACAAAAGAUUCAUUCACAUUUUUAUGAGAAAUCAAACGAUUUGAUCUUUCUCUCAUAAGACGCUUAUAGCUCCCACUAGCUUGCUAAGAUCCAUGAUGGAUGGAUCUCUACAACUUACAUGUCUUGUGAUUCAUAGUUUUAGACAUAUAUUAUCAAGACUAUAUUAAUAAUGGUUUCGGAAACCCAUAUUAUGUCCAAACAUUUAAUCACCAUUUAGUUGUAGCUAGCAAUCUUCGAAUUAAUUGAAACCAUGACUACGUCAAAGAUGGUUUCUUCAAAGUCAACCAAUCUCUUUGAUUGUAGUCACCUUAAGCUACCAAUUAGCUAUGAAGGUUUCAUCAUUUCGUGUCAAAUGGUACUUUACCAUUUCCUUGAGUAUAUCUCGUAUAUACACUCAAUGUAGUCAUAAUGAUUUUCAUUCUUAUUUCUUUCGAAUUAAGAGGUGCAACUCUAUGACAUAGUCAUAAAGUUCAAACCAUUCAACUGAGACGGUUUAUAAAUCCUUCUCGACUGCCUUGGAGCUUGUGGUAUAGGAACUAGUGAAGGAAAAAUUUUAUCUUAGCUAAGAACAAGUAAGAACAUUUGAAUACAUAUGCAAACUAUUAACACUUUAAAGUAGGCAUGCAUUCAAAAACAAUUCAUAAAACCCAUGACUUUCAAAGCCUAGUAUACGGUGAACCAAUAAACUCUUUAACAACAUUAAAGAGAAGUAAAGAUUUAGAGUUUCUUUACCCUUGAAGCUCAUCCUUGUUUACACAAGGGAUUCACCCAAGUGGAGGGCCUUCAAGUCACCUACAAGCUCCUUGGAUAUUCCUUGUGAUUUUCCUCCUUUUAGUACUCCUUUGCUUCUUUGAGGAUUUUAGGAUUUGUUCUCCAAAACACCAAAAAUUUGAUGUCUCUAACUCUCCACACCAAGGAUGUAUCUUGUGAAGAUAAUAUGGAUGACUUAGGGAAGAAGAGAUUGCUAGAUGUCCCUCCCCUAAGUGGCCGGCCUCUUUAGAGAAAAAUGAGAGAAAGUGUUUCACCCAAUUUCUUUAAGAAAACCCUAAUGAGAAAUAAAGCUAUAAAGUUCCUUUUAUACUUCAUUUCAAGUGAGUGGCAAACUUGUAAUUAAUCCAAGCUUGCCCAUUCACCCUAAUGGCCGGCCAUAUUAAUGUUAUUGGGCUAAUUGCCGAUUUUGUUUUAGUUGUCAAACAACUUAAACAUAAUGGGCCUUGUGGACCAAAACGCUUUUGAGACCCGAAGCCCAAAACAAACUUAAAAGCCCAAUACGAACCUUUCGUAAAAUUAAUUAACUAAUUAAUUAAUCUUGACCAUUCAUCAAUUAAACCAUUUAAUUGCUUAUCCAUUUCAUUUAAUUUCCUCACAUACAUCCUUACUCGGUGUACGAUCCAUUAGGUUCCAAUUAGCGAGGUAGUGGGCGACUGUUACUCUUAACGAUCGAUUGUGAAUUGAAACCACAUUUCAAUUCUCCCUUAAUGAUUAGUGUUUGCUAAUCAUUUAGGGUUUCCACAAACCAUGAGUGACACCUAGCAGUAUGUCAUGGUUACCCAAGCUAAGUAGAAGUGGUUGGAGAACCUAUCCAGUUACAACUACAAUACAAAACGGUCAUUCUCUAAUACAAUACUCUUAAUCACAUUGUUUGAGUGAUAGUUUGUUUCAUAUCUACUAUCCAAUGUG